UGUGGAUAUAGUUCAGUUGGUAGAAUGCCUGUCCAACAUUCAGGAGGCCCUGGGUUCGAUUCCCAGUACCUCAU
Peromyscus eremicus (cactus mouse) is the source of this 74-nucleotide non-coding RNA. NCBI's taxonomy places the organism in Eukaryota, Metazoa, Chordata, Mammalia, Rodentia, Cricetidae. The record is from the annotation of a RefSeq genome assembly.